CGGCGCGGCGCGCCCUGUCCAUGGUGCGGGCGGCGGCGGCGCGGGUGUCCCCGCGGCGGGAGCGCGGCGGCGCGGGGCUGUAUGGACGUGAUGUCCCCGCAACAGGAGCACCUCGGCCCGGGCCGCUCGUCCUCGGUGAGCGGCGAGAGCAGGGGCUUUGCCGCCGCCGCCGACAGCAAGAAGUCAGUGGAGGAGAACUUCAGACAAGAUGAACUGUGCCCUAAAUUAUCCUUUUCUCUCUGAGGGCUGAAAAAGGAGCACAGGGCAGACAGCUCAGGUGUGUGAGUCAGAGGCUGGGGGAGAGGAAUCUUCCUGCAUGUGUCUGACCAUGGCAUGGGUGAGGUAGCACAACCUGGCAAUGUGGGCAGUGUGCUCCUGGGGAAUCACCGUGCACAGUCCCUGAAUUAGCCCGCCUGCUCUGACCUCCAGUACAUCUGCAGUAGCUGCAGCACUUAUUGCAUAGAUUUCUACCUUCUCUAGAUACUUGAAAAUAUGAUAAACACCAUAUAUGCAUUACUUAAGUUACUUGGCAACACAAAAUAAAUAGUAAGUACCAUUAUUUUUUUCA
This 568-nucleotide long non-coding RNA is filed under the name Parus major (Great Tit). RNAcentral describes it as "lncRNA (ENSPMJG00000017639.1)". Lineage: Eukaryota; Metazoa; Chordata; Aves; Passeriformes; Paridae. The record is from RNAcentral.